This 440-nucleotide ribosomal RNA is filed under the name uncultured bacterium. RNAcentral describes it as "partial 16S ribosomal RNA". It matches the Rfam family "Bacterial small subunit ribosomal RNA", at positions 338 to 795 of the family's 1533-position model. The record is from RNAcentral.
CCUACGGGAGGCAGCAGUGGGGAAUAUUGCACAAUGGGGGAAACUCUGAAGCAGCGAUGCCGCGUGAGUGAAGACGUCUCUCUGUAUGGAAAGCUCCAUCUGCAGGGGAGUAAACGACGGUACGUGAUUCAGUCUCCCCGGCUAACUCCGUUAAAGCAGCGGCGGCAAUACGUCGGGGGCAAGCGUUAUCCGGAUUUACUGGGUGUAAGGGGGGCGUAGUCGGAUGGACAAGUCCGUGGUGAAAUGCCGGGGUUUAACGCCGGAACUGCUGUUGAAACUGUGCGGCUAGAGAGCAGGUGAGGUAAGUGGAAUGCAUGGUGUAGCGGUGAAAUGCGUAGAGAUCAGGCAGAACACCGAUGGCGAAGGCAGCUUACUAAGCUGUAACUGACGUUGAGGCACGAAAGCGUGGGGAGCAAACAGGAUUAGAUACCCUUGUAGUC